This is a long non-coding RNA of Rhagoletis pomonella (apple maggot), 1743 nucleotides long. RefSeq lists it as uncharacterized. The transcript has 3 exons. Lineage: Eukaryota; Metazoa; Arthropoda; Insecta; Diptera; Tephritidae. The record is from RefSeq and is a predicted model, not a curated record.
UGAAUGGCCACGCGGUUUCGAAGGCGAUGAAUGCACUUUGUGUGGAAGUAUACAACAAAAUAAUUUUGCUACCAACUGCAGAAGGAACCCACGGAUUACCUACACUGGGGUGAUAUGGUGUUUGCCAUUGGCAUCUUUGUAUAGCAUGGCAACCAAAAAUCUGGCAUAUGCACAUACAUACGUAUGCUUUUCCAACAAACGAAAAAAAAUGCUGCCCCGUGCCACAGGCAUAUUUAAAACUGCGACCGUUUGCUCGAUCCCAAAAAAACAAGGCAUCUUCUGUCGGCUUCGGGGCAUCGUGUAACGUAUCGAACGUAGUGAUUGCGCUUCAUUCUUCCUAACGUAAUUCGUUUUGUGGAUCGUAUUCACCUAAAGCUGCCUUUAUACGAUCAAUAUUGUUUUUCUCCAAACAAACAAGUUGCCGAGCAACUCAUCAAAAUGUUGCGCCUUUCAUACCACUCGCCACCCAACAAUGCAUACUAAUAUCUACGCGCUUUGAUAAGCUAUGCAAGGUACGCAAUAAGGCGUAAAUAAUAAACGUGGUAAAAUCGUGAUGUGUGCAACGUACGCAGCAAAUUUUAAUAUACAGAUUUACCACUUUGAUGUAUGCAACGUACGCAGCAAAUAUAUAUGUUAAAAAAAUGUGCAAUAUUAUACGGAGUUGAAUCGCUUAUGCGUAGUGAUUUAGUGAAAAUCUACUAUUGGUUCAAUGCAAAUAAUAAAAUUUAGAGGUUAUGUAUCCUCGAAACAGUGACAAAGUGUUCGCAAAUAUACAAAAGAAUUUAACCCAAAUAAAAGGUGAAGUGGAAAAACGAUCAGAAAAAUGAAGAUUAUGAUUAUGGACUGUGAAUUUAAACAAAAUCGAAAUUCUUCAUUAACAAUAUUAUGUGAUACGGAUCACUGCUGUGAGUGUAUAUAUACGCGUGUUUGCAAAGUGCAAUUAUUUUUUGGUUGCCGUUCGCGGACGCAAUUUGAACCAAGACUCUAAAAAAAUGUGUAGCAAACCAACGAGUACUGUGUGACACUGUGUGUGUAUAUGUUAAUGUUGCAAGAACACCUGUUCGCUGUUGUCACUUGUGGACGGACAGACUAACCUCAAUUAUUAACAGUGUGGUUUCAAAAUUAAAUGCUCCAAUUGUAUAUUUUCAGUUUAAACACUCGCGAGAUUCUAGUUAGCACACGCGCAUUGAAUUUAAAAACGUUUUUUUUUAGCAAUUUUCUAACAAGUGCAAUUGAAAUUAUAACCACGGAGCUUGAAUUAGAAGUGAUUGGUGUUUGGUGGUUGUAGUGCUCGUUGGUGUCCUGGCAAAUUUAGGUGUCGUAGCAAGAAAGCUGAGUGUGGUUGUGUUUGAGUUUGUUGGUGCUGUAGUUGCCGGUUGGCUGGUUUGUGGCACAGCUGACUGAAUCACUGGCAAUUUCGCUGGCGCAGGGAUAAAAAGCGUUGGUGUUAUAAAAAGCCGUGGUUGCUGAUGUGGUUAACAAAAAUCGCUCGUUGUUGAAGCUCUGUGUGUUGUGCUGGUACUUUCAAUGUGGAGUGUAUUAAAAAUCUCGGUUCCGAUGGACCAUGAAGAAACCCAGUUGCGCCGCAGGGAUUUCGAAUGAGCGCACCCGUGGUUUUAUUGAAGAUAAUAGAAAAGGAGGAGAAGCUUCGCCAAACACUAACAUAUGUGUAAGUGCCAAUCUAUUAUUAUUAUUAAUAGAAAAGAUAUAAAACGCAAUUGGAUUAGUAUUUUGUAAUAUUUA